Long non-coding RNA from Oreochromis aureus, 224 nucleotides. RefSeq lists it as uncharacterized. The transcript is spliced from 3 exons. NCBI's taxonomy places the organism in Eukaryota, Metazoa, Chordata, Actinopteri, Cichliformes, Cichlidae. The record is from RefSeq and is a predicted model, not a curated record.
GAGGGAGUCCCUCCCUCUAAAAGCACUCUGUAUGGGGAACAUGAGAGCCAGACCAAAGCUCAGAGGAACCCACCUGGACCUCCACCCAGCUCUGUGUCCUGUAAGAGUGACGCGUCUAAAGAUGAAGUUAUUUACUUUAAAUCAGGCGUGUGUCGUCCUGCAGAGAGAGUGGACCAGCAGAGCUCAGAGGUUCGCAGUGGUCAGUCUGCCCAGCAGCAUCAAAC